CAAUAAAGAAAGUAUUGUAAUGUGCACAUAAAUUGAUUUGAGCCUCUAGGUCUGUUAUCUCUGAUGUCAUUUGACUUUGAUUUGCGGGCAUGAUUUUACAACAAAACG
Molecule: small nucleolar RNA, 108 nt
Organism: Rhododendron vialii
Lineage: Eukaryota; Viridiplantae; Streptophyta; Magnoliopsida; Ericales; Ericaceae
Product: small nucleolar RNA snoR100
Exons: 1
Source: RefSeq, a predicted model, not a curated record